CCCUUAGAUGUCCGGGGCCGCACGCGCGCUACACUGAAGGAAUCAGCGUGGCUUUCUCCCUGACCCGAAAGGGUUGGGAAACCCGUUGAAUCUCCUUCGUGAUAGGGAUUGGGGCUUGAAAUUGUUCCCCAUGAACGAGGAAUUCCCAGUAAGCGCGAGUCAUAAGCUCGCGUUGAUUACGUCCCUGCCCUUUGUACACACCGCCCGUCGCUACUACCGAUUGAACGGUUUAGUGAGGGCCUCGGAUUGGUCUCGGCCCGCUCUUUACCGGGCGGCGCCGUUGGUUGAGAAGACGCUCGAACUUGAUCGUUUAGAGGAAGUAAAAGUCGUAACA
RNAcentral lists this ribosomal RNA (334 nucleotides) under uncultured eukaryote. Its description in RNAcentral is "partial 18S ribosomal RNA". It matches the Rfam family "Eukaryotic small subunit ribosomal RNA", at positions 1470 to 1796 of the family's 1831-position model. The record is from RNAcentral.